Molecule: ribosomal RNA, 484 nt
Filed under: uncultured bacterium
Lineage: Bacteria
Description: partial 16S ribosomal RNA
Rfam family: Bacterial small subunit ribosomal RNA
Source: RNAcentral
AUUGAACGCUGGCGGCAGGCCUAACACAUGCAAGUCGAGCGGAUGAAGGGAGCUUGCUCCUGGAUUCAGCGGCGGACGGGUGAGUAAUGCCUAGGAAUCUGCCUGGUAGUGGGGGAUAACGUCCGGAAACGGGCGCUAAUACCGCAUACGUCCUGAGGGAGAAAGUGGGGGAUCUUCGGACCUCACGCUAUCAGAUGAGCCUAGGUCGGAUUAGCUAGUUGGUGGGGUAAAGGCCUACCAAGGCGACGAUCCGUAACUGGUCUGAGAGGAUGAUCUGUCACACUGGAACUGAGACACGGUCCAGACUCCUACGGGAGGCAGCAGUGGGGAAUAUUGGACAAAGGGCGAAAGCCUGAUCCAGACGUGCCGCGUGUGUGAAGAAGGUCUUCGGAUUGUAAAGCACUUUAAGUUGGGAGGAAGGGCAGUAAGUUAAUACCUUGCUGUUUUGACGUUACCAACAGAAUAAGCACCGGCUAACUUCGUG